GAUGAAGAACGUAGCGAAAUGCGAUAAGUAAUGUGAAUUGCAGAAUUCAGUGAAUCAUCGAAUCUUUGAACGCACCUUGCGCCCUUUGGCUAUUCCGAAGGGCAUGCCUGUUUGAGUAUCAUGAACACCUCAACUCUCAUGGCUUGCCAUGAUGAGCUUGGACUAUGGGGGUCUUGCUGGCCUGUGGUCGGCUCCUCUCAAAUGAAUCAGCUUGCCGGUGUUUGGUGGCGUCACAGGUGUGAUAACUAUCUACGCUUGUGGUGUUUUCCACCAGGUAACCUUCAGCAAUGGAGGUUCGCUGGGGCUCAUAAAAGUCUCUCAUCGGUGAGGACAGCUCUUUUUGAACGUUUGAUCUCAAAUCAGGUAGGACUACCCGCUGAACUUAAGCAUAUCAAUAAGCGGAGGA
RNAcentral lists this unclassified non-coding RNA (406 nucleotides) under soil metagenome. RNAcentral's name for it is "partial contains 5.8S ribosomal RNA, internal transcribed spacer 2, and large subunit ribosomal RNA". The stretch from base 1 to 121 matches the Rfam family "5.8S ribosomal RNA", at positions 35 to 154 of the family's 154-position model. The record is from RNAcentral.